GGGUAUAGCUCAGUAGUAGAGCAUAUGCUUAACGUGCACACUGUCCUGGGUUCAAUCCCCAGUACCUCCA
This 70-nucleotide transfer RNA is filed under the name Camelus bactrianus (Bactrian camel). It matches the Rfam family "tRNA". From Rfam's summary of the family: Transfer RNA (tRNA) molecules are approximately 80 nucleotides in length. Their secondary structure includes four short double-helical elements and three loops (D, anti-codon, and T loops). The record is from Rfam by way of RNAcentral. RNAcentral also lists the same sequence under 2 other names. Lineage: Eukaryota; Metazoa; Chordata; Mammalia; Artiodactyla; Camelidae.